CAAGUCGAACGCGCAGCAUUCUGUAGCAAUACAGGGUGUGGGCGCGUGGCGAACGGGUGCGUAACACGUGGAUAACCUUCCUUGAGGUGGGGAAUAACCCAGUGAAAAUUGGGCUAAUACCGCAUAACAUCGCGAUGGCACAUGCUGUUGCGAUCAAAGGCGCAAGUCGCCACAAGAGGGAUCCGCGGCCGAUUAGCUUGUUGGCGAGGUAAUGGCUCACCAAGGCAAUGAUCGGUAGCCGGACUGAGAGGUUGGCCGGCCACACUGGAACUGAGACACGGUCCAGACUCCUACGGGAGGCAGCAGUGGGGAAUCUUGCACAAUGGACGAAAGUCUGAUGCAGCAACGCCGCGUGGGGGAUGAAGCUUCUCGGAGUGUAAACCCCUUUCGACCCGGAAGAAUGCCCGCAAGGGUAUGACGGUACGGGUAUAAGAAGCCCCGGCUAACUACGUGCCAGCAGCCGCGGUAAUACGUAGGGGGCCAGCGUUGCUCGGAAUUACUGGGCGUAAAGGGUCCGUAGGCGGUGUAGCAAGUCGAUAGUGAAAUCUCUGGGCUUAACCCAGAGGCUGCUAACGAAACUGCUGUGCUAGAGUGUGAGAGAGGCGAGUGGAAUUACGGGUGUAGCGGUGAAAUGCGUAGAUAUCCGUAGGAACAUCCGAGGCGAAGGCGGCUCGCUGGAUCACAACUGACGCUGAGGGACGAAAGCUAGGGGAGCAAACAGGAUUAGAUACCAUGGUAGUCCUAGCCCUAAACCAUCAGGACUUGGGGUUUGCCCUGUACGGGGCAAGUCCCGUAGCUAACGCGUUAAGUCCUGCGCCUGGGGAGUACGGUCGCAAGGCUGAAACUCAAAGGAAUU
Molecule: ribosomal RNA, 856 nt
Filed under: uncultured Acidobacteriota bacterium
Lineage: Bacteria; Pseudomonadati; Acidobacteriota
Description: bacterial SSU rRNA
Rfam family: Bacterial small subunit ribosomal RNA
Source: RNAcentral